This 798-nucleotide ribosomal RNA is filed under the name Camacolaimus environmental sample. RNAcentral's name for it is "bacterial SSU rRNA". It matches the Rfam family "Eukaryotic small subunit ribosomal RNA", at positions 21 to 812 of the family's 1831-position model. Lineage: Eukaryota; Metazoa; Nematoda; Chromadorea; Plectida; Leptolaimidae. The record is from RNAcentral.
CGGUCAUAUGCUUGUCUCAAAGAUUAAGCCAUGCAAGUCUAAGUUCAAAUCAUUGUAUGAUGAAACCGCAGAAAGCUCAUUACAACAGCCAUUGUUCACUUGAUGUUUUCUAUCCUACUUGGAUAACUGUGGUAAUUCUAGAGCUAAUACAUGCAGCAAAACUCAGGUAGGCUCUCGGGCCGACGAGUGCAAUUAUUAGAACAAAACCAAUCGGGCCUCGGUCCGUUUCGUUUGGUGGAUCUGAAUAACAGAGCGGAUCGCACAGUCUUUGCACUGGCGACGCAUCUUUCAAGUGUCUGUCCUAUCAGCUGUCGAUGGUAUUCUAUACGAUUACCAUGGCUGUAACGGGUAACGGAGAAUAAGGGUUCGACUCCGGAGAGGGAGCCUGAGAAACGGCUACCACAUCCAAGGAAGGCAGCAGGCGCGCAAAUUACCCACUCUCGGCACGAGGAGGUAGUGACGAAAAAUAACGAGGCGGUUCUCUAAGAGGCCCGCUAUCGGAAUGGGUACAAUUUAAACCCUUUAACGAGGACCUAUGAGAGGGCAAGUCUGGUGCCAGCAGCCGCGGUAAUUCCAGCUCUCAAGGUGUAUAUCGCCAUUGCUGCGGUUAAAAAGCUCGUAGUUGGAUCUACGGUUUCUGGAGCCGGUCCACUCAAUGAGUGCGAACUGGUCUCCAAGCCUCUAGUCGCUGGUCUACCCUUGAUGCUCUUAACCGGGUGUCCUGGGUGGCUAGUGAGUUUACUUUGAAAAAAUUAGAGUGCUCAAGACAGGCUUCAGUGCCUGAAUAGUGGUGCAUGG